GACGAACGCUGGCGGCGUGCCUAAUACAUGCAAGUCGAACGGAAAGGCGCGCAUCUUGGUGGGGGUGCGUGAGUGGCGAACGGGUGAGUAACACGUGGGUGAUCUGCCUUGUAGUUUGGGAUAAGCUUGGGAAACUGGGUCUAAUACCGGAUAGGACCAUGAAUUAGUGUGUUAUGGAGGAAAGAUUAGUGUUGUGGUGCCGGAUGAGCUGGCGGCCUAUCAGUUUGGUGGUGGGGUAAACGCCGACCAAGGCGUCGACGGGUAGCCGGCCUGAGAGGGUGGACGGCCACAUUGGGACUGGGAUACGGCCCAGACGCCUACGGGAGGCAGCAGUGGUUAAGCAUGGACAAUGGGCGUAAGCCUGAAGCAGCGCCGCCGCGUGGAGGAUUUCGGCCUUCUAAUACUAAGCUCCUCGCGAUAAAGACGAAGCCACGCUUUUUGGGAGUGGUGACGGUACCUUAGUCAGAAAGCCCCGGCUAACUACGUG
This 487-nucleotide ribosomal RNA is filed under the name uncultured bacterium. RNAcentral describes it as "partial 16S ribosomal RNA". It matches the Rfam family "Bacterial small subunit ribosomal RNA", at positions 28 to 507 of the family's 1533-position model. The record is from RNAcentral.